This 81-nucleotide transfer RNA is filed under the name Fibrobacter sp. RNAcentral describes it as "tRNA-Leu". It matches the Rfam family "tRNA". From Rfam's summary of the family: Transfer RNA (tRNA) molecules are approximately 80 nucleotides in length. The record is from RNAcentral. Lineage: Bacteria; Pseudomonadati; Fibrobacterota; Fibrobacteria; Fibrobacterales; Fibrobacteraceae.
GCGAGAGUGGCGGAAUUGGCAGACGCACCAGACUUAGGAUCUGGCGCCCUCGGCGUGAGGGUUCGACUCCCUCCUCUCGCA